GCAUGGGUGGCUCAGUUGGUUAAGCAUCUGACUUCUGAUCAGGUCAUAAUCUCAUGGGUUGUGAGUUUGAAUCCCACAUCAGGCU
Molecule: transfer RNA, 85 nt
Filed under: Felis catus (domestic cat)
Lineage: Eukaryota; Metazoa; Chordata; Mammalia; Carnivora; Felidae
Rfam family: tRNA
About the family: Transfer RNA (tRNA) molecules are approximately 80 nucleotides in length. Their secondary structure includes four short double-helical elements and three loops (D, anti-codon, and T loops).
Source: Rfam by way of RNAcentral